This 405-nucleotide ribosomal RNA is filed under the name uncultured prokaryote. Its description in RNAcentral is "bacterial SSU rRNA". It matches the Rfam family "Bacterial small subunit ribosomal RNA", at positions 355 to 774 of the family's 1533-position model. The record is from RNAcentral.
UGAGGAAUAUUGCGCAAUGGCCGAAAGGCUGACGCAGCGACGCCGCGUGGGGGAUGACGGCCUUCGGGUUGUAAACCCUUGUCAGUGGGGAAGAAAAAAAUGACUGUACCCACAGAGGAAGCCCCGGCUAACUACGUGCCAGCAGCCGCGGUAAGACGUAGGGGGCGAGCGUUGUUCGGAAUUACUGGGCGUAAAGAGCGCGUAGGCUGGAAAUUAAGUCUGUGGACAAAUCCCCCGGCUCAACCGGGAACCGUUUAGGGAUACUGAUUUUCUUGAGAACAGGAGAGGGGAAUGGAAUUCCUAGUGUAGCGGUGAAAUGCGUAGAUAUUAGGAGGAACACCAGUGGCGAAGGCGGUUCUCUGGCCUGUUUCUGACGCUGAGGAGCGAAAGCUGGGGGAGCGAACG